Molecule: ribosomal RNA, 637 nt
Filed under: uncultured bacterium
Lineage: Bacteria
Description: bacterial SSU rRNA
Rfam family: Bacterial small subunit ribosomal RNA
Source: RNAcentral
GAGUUUGAUCAUGGCUCAGGAUGAACGCUAGCGGCAGGCUUAACACAUGCAAGUCGAGGGGUAUAGUUCUUCGGAAUUAGAGACCGGCGCACGGGUGCGUAACGCGUAUGCAAUCUACCUUUCACAGAGGGAUAGCCCAGAGAAAUUUGGAUUAAUACCUCAUAGUAUUAUGGAAUGGCAUCAUUUUAUAAUUAAAGUCACAACGGUGAAAGAUGAGCAUGCGUCCCAUUAGCUAGUUGGUAAGGUAACGGCUUACCAAGGCUACGAUGGGUAGGGGUCCUGAGAGGGAGAUCCCCCACACUGGUACUGAGACACGGACCAGACUCCUACGGGAGGCAGCAGUGAGGAAUAUUGGACAAUGGGCGCAAGCCUGAUCCAGCCAUGCCGCGUGCAGGAUGACGGUCCUAUGGAUUGUAAACUGCUUUUGCACAGGAAGAAACAACGCUACGUGUAGCGUCUUGACGGUACUGUGAGAAUAAGGAUCGGCUAACUCCGUGCCAGCAGCCGCGGUAAUACGGAGGAUCCAAGCGUUAUCCGGAAUCAUUGGGUUUAAAGGGUCCGUAGGCGGUUUAGUAAGUCAGUGGUGAAAGCCCAUCGCUCAACGGUGGAACGGCCAUUGAUACUGCUAGACUUGAAU